AAUGAACGCUGGCGGCAGGCCUAACACAUGCAAGUCGAGCGGACGAAGGGAGCUUGCUCCUGGAUUCAGCGGCGGACGGGUGAGUAAUGCCUAGGAAUCUGCCUGGUAGAGGGGGAUAACGUCCGGAAACGGGCGCUAAUACCGUAUACGUUCUGAUGUUGAACGUGGGGGAUCUUCGGACCUCACGCUAUCUGAUGAGCCUAGGACGGAUUAGCUAGUUGGUGGGGUAAAGGCCUACCAAGGCGACGAUCCGUAACUGGUCUGAGAGGAUGAUCAGUCACACUGGAACUGAGACACGGUCCAGACUCCUACGGGAGGCAGCAGUAGGGAAUAUUGGGCAAUGGGCGAAAGCCUGAUCCAGCAAUGCCGCGUGAGUGAAGAAGGUCUUCGGAUUGUAAAACGCUUUAAGUUGGGAGGAAGAGAAGUAAGUUAAUACCUUGAUGUUUUGACGUUACCAACAGAGCAAGCCCCGGCUAACUUCGUG
Molecule: ribosomal RNA, 484 nt
Filed under: uncultured bacterium
Lineage: Bacteria
Description: partial 16S ribosomal RNA
Rfam family: Bacterial small subunit ribosomal RNA
Source: RNAcentral